RNAcentral lists this long non-coding RNA (395 nucleotides) under Helianthus annuus (common sunflower). RNAcentral describes it as "sRNA HanXRQr2_Chr02g0066271". The record is from RNAcentral. Lineage: Eukaryota; Viridiplantae; Streptophyta; Magnoliopsida; Asterales; Asteraceae.
AUGAUCUCUAGAUCAAGUGGUGGGGGGCUAUAUUUAGGUUGCCAACAAUUUAAAAGAUUUAACUUAUUCUGUUCUUUGAUAUCGGUUGACGGGAACCAGGAUAAUUGACAACAAUCUUAGUGGGUCCAUACCUAAUUUCAUAGAGAAUUGGAGACAACUCAAUAAACUAGAACUAAUUGGGAUGGGGCUUUCGGGACUGAUUCCUUCAUCCAUUUCUUUCUGAACUUAACUGACGUGUGAGUGUAAAUAACGUUAACUUCAUACGAACCUUUUUCAUUCUUUCUCUUUUUUAUCUUUUUUUUCUAUUUCGUGUAAUGGGAAAUUACUAUUACUAUGUAGGAGAAUUUGUGAACUAAGUGGACCAACUCAGAGAUUCCCUCCGUUAGAUAAUGCUG